This 424-nucleotide ribosomal RNA is filed under the name uncultured bacterium. Its description in RNAcentral is "partial 16S ribosomal RNA". It matches the Rfam family "Bacterial small subunit ribosomal RNA", at positions 360 to 776 of the family's 1533-position model. The record is from RNAcentral.
AAUAUUGGACAAUGGGCGAAAGCCUGAUCCAGCCAUGCCGCGUGUGUGAAGAAGGUCUUCGGAUUGUAAAGCACUUUAAGUUGGGAAGAAGGGUUGUCGGUUAAUACCCUGCAAUUUUGACGUUACCAACAGAAUACUCACCGCCUAACUCUGUGCCAGCAGCCGCGGUAAUACAGAGGGUGCAAGUGUUAAUCGGAAUUACUGGGCGUAAAGCGCGCGUAGGUGGUUCAGUAAGAUGGAGGUGAAAUCCCCGGGCUUAACCUGGGAACUGAUUACAUAACUGCUGAGCUAGAGUACGGUAGAGGGUAGUGGAAUUUCCUGUGUAGCGGUGAAAUGCGUAGAUAUAGGAAGGAACACCAGUGGCGAAGGCGACUACCUGGACUGAUACUGACACUGAGGUGCGAAAGCGUGGGGAGCAAACAGG